RNAcentral lists this transfer RNA (70 nucleotides) under Dipodomys ordii (Ord's kangaroo rat). It matches the Rfam family "tRNA". From Rfam's summary of the family: Transfer RNA (tRNA) molecules are approximately 80 nucleotides in length. Their secondary structure includes four short double-helical elements and three loops (D, anti-codon, and T loops). The record is from Rfam by way of RNAcentral. Lineage: Eukaryota; Metazoa; Chordata; Mammalia; Rodentia; Heteromyidae.
GGGAAAGUGGCUCAGCGGUAGAGCACUUGCCUUGUAUGCAUGAGGCCCUGGGUUCGAUUCCCUAGCACCA